CUUCACUUGCUUGUUUGUGAAACUGCAACAUAUUGAACAGUAAAUGGUCACAGUAUAAGACAAGAGUUUUUGGUCGUCAUUUGAAGCCAUUCCACUACAGCCAUAGUUACUCUCCAUGGCUGAUAAAAUCCAAUGAUAGUACGUGUAGCAAGUCUAA
This is a long non-coding RNA of Etheostoma cragini (Arkansas darter), 157 nucleotides long. RefSeq lists it as uncharacterized. Lineage: Eukaryota; Metazoa; Chordata; Actinopteri; Perciformes; Percidae. The transcript is spliced from 3 exons. The record is from RefSeq and is a predicted model, not a curated record.